This 322-nucleotide ribosomal RNA is filed under the name uncultured eukaryote. RNAcentral describes it as "partial 18S ribosomal RNA". It matches the Rfam family "Eukaryotic small subunit ribosomal RNA", at positions 1470 to 1796 of the family's 1831-position model. The record is from RNAcentral.
CCCUUAGAUGUUCUGGGCCGCACGCGUGCUACACUGAGUGGAUCAGCGGGUCAGGUUACGCGAGAGCGUUUCCUAAUCUUCAAAUCCGCUCGUGAUGGGGAUUGACGGUUGCAAUUUUCCGUCAUGAACGAGGAAUACCUUGUAAGCGCGGGUCAUCAUCCCGCGCUGAAUACGUCCCUGCCCUUUGUACACACCGCCCGUCGCUCCUACCGAUUGAGUGGUCCGGUGAGGCUUUGGGAUCUAAGCGAGAAGAGCGUUUCGCUCCUUUUGCUGGGAGAACUCAGUCGAACCUUAUCAUUUAGAGGAAGGAGAAGUCGUAACA